Long non-coding RNA from Esox lucius (northern pike), 375 nucleotides. RefSeq lists it as uncharacterized. The transcript has 2 exons. NCBI's taxonomy places the organism in Eukaryota, Metazoa, Chordata, Actinopteri, Esociformes, Esocidae. The record is from RefSeq and is a predicted model, not a curated record.
UUCAGUCGGACAGCUUUGAAUAUUUCGCUCAUCAGUUCUGCCCUCUGUAUGUAGGCCUGUGCAUUCAGACCCUUUGUGGUGAUGGAUUUCACUAGCUGGAGGAGGUUGUUGGAAUCCUCAUUGCAAACAAUAUUUUCAAAAGUUACACUAUCACAGUCCACUUUGAGUCUUUUCCCUCUCACAGAUGGAUCUGCAUGGAGCCAUUCAGGACAAGGAGAGAGGUAUGAACUCCUCUUCCUCUUUUUGGGUGGAACUGCUAAGCCUCUCCAGUUUUCAACAGCUUCUUCAUCUGUUGGAUGGAUGUUUGUGACAGUGUCAGACUUCCCAGAGCAGGAAGCAUCCAUCUCUGGCCUUCCAUCAAUCCUGCAGGUUGUG